GACGAACGCUGGCGGCGUGCUUAACACAUGCAAGUCGAACGGAAAGGCCCUGCCUUUGUGGGGUGCUCGAGUGGCGAACGGGUGAGUAACACGUGAGUAACCUGCCCUUGACUUUGGGAUAACUUCAGGAAACUGGGGCUAAUACCGGAUAGGAGCCCCUCCUGCAUGGUGGGGGUUGGAAAGUUUCGGCGGUUGGGGAUGGGCUCGCGGCUUAUCAGCUUGUUGGUGGGGUAGUGGCUUACCAAGGCUUUGACGGGUAGCCGGCCUGAGAGGGUGACCGGCCACAUUGGGACUGAGAUACGGCCCAGACUCCUACGGGAGGCAGCAGUGGGGAAUAUUGCACAAUGGGCGGAAGCCUGAUGCAGCGACGCCGCGUGCGGGAUGACGGCCUUCGGGUUGUAAACCGCUUUCGGCUGUGACGAAGCGUGAGUGACGGUAAUGGGUAAAGAAGCACCGGCUAACUACGUG
Molecule: ribosomal RNA, 468 nt
Filed under: uncultured bacterium
Lineage: Bacteria
Description: partial 16S ribosomal RNA
Rfam family: Bacterial small subunit ribosomal RNA
Source: RNAcentral